Molecule: long non-coding RNA, 166 nt
Organism: Sebastes umbrosus (honeycomb rockfish)
Lineage: Eukaryota; Metazoa; Chordata; Actinopteri; Perciformes; Sebastidae
Exons: 3
Source: RefSeq, a predicted model, not a curated record
CUCACCCCCUCUGCGAAAUUUACUUGCUUAGAUUCGCUCAAUUCCUCGAUGCCUAUGGGAUCAUGAUUAUGUUAUAUGAUCACAUAGACAUUCAACAAUUGAGCCAAGGUAGCCUAAUAUUGCUGUUUGACAUAACUUCAGACUACACCAAAUACAUAAAAAAGGU